GAUGAACGCUGGCGGCGUGCCUAAUACAUGCAAGUCGAGCGAACAGAUGAGGAGCUUGCUCCUCUGACGUUAGCGGCGGACGGGUGAGUAACACGUGGAUAACCUACCUAUAAGACUGGGAUAACUUCGGGAAACCGGAGCUAAUACCGGAUAAUAUAUUGAACCGCAUGGUUCAAUAGUGAAAGACGGUUUUGCUGUAACUUAUAGAUGGAUCCGCGCCGCAUUAGCUAGUUGGUAAGGUAACGGCUUACCAAGGCAACGAUGCGUAGCCGACCUGAGAGGGUGAUCAGCCACACUGGAACUGAGACACGGUCCAGACUCCUACGGGAGGCAGCAGUAGGGAAUCUUCCGCAAUGGGCGAAAGCCUGACGGAGCAACGCCGCGUGAGUGAUGAAGGUCUUCGGAUCGUAAAACUCUGUUAUUAGGGAAGAACAAAUGUGUAAGUAACUAUGCACGUCUUGACGGUACCUAAUCAGAAAGCCACGGCUAACUACGUG
Molecule: ribosomal RNA, 497 nt
Filed under: uncultured bacterium
Lineage: Bacteria
Description: partial 16S ribosomal RNA
Rfam family: Bacterial small subunit ribosomal RNA
Source: RNAcentral